This 1716-nucleotide long non-coding RNA is filed under the name Salmo salar (Atlantic salmon). RNAcentral describes it as "lncRNA (ENSSSAG00000086761.1)". Lineage: Eukaryota; Metazoa; Chordata; Actinopteri; Salmoniformes; Salmonidae. The record is from RNAcentral.
CUGAAUGUAAAAUGUAUGCACUCAUGACGAAGUCACUUUGGACAAAAGCAUUUGCUAAAUGGCAUGUAGUAUUAUAUAUAUUAUAUAUUCCAGUACAAAAGGCUGUGAGCGAUCUCUAUCACUUCGCCUUUGUUUUUGUGCAAUAAGAGAUAACAAACAUAUCAGAGAGCAUGCAGAGCCAAGAGUAAAGACCUCUGGAGCCGCGGGAUCAUGAAUACGCUUGUUCAUCUGAGAAGAAAGCACUGUCUCUUUUCCAAGUUGUGAAGUAAGCCAAGAGACAUCUUGUUUCUAACAGUUUCUUCAGACAAUUUGUCCAUAUGCGAGCUGACUUUGUGUUUAUAGGUCCCAUGCCUAAUUUGAACACACACACACACAAACACACACACACACACACACAGGUGCGUGAACACACAUACACACAGGAACAUGCACACACAUGCUCUUACUUAGCUCCUCUGUUGUUCACUUGUGAGGUGCACUGUGCUUGGCGUACAUCAAUGCCUCUCUUGUUUUUUAGGACCCUGGGCUCCUUGAAAUGGUAUUUUUGUUCUGAGCUGAAAAAAACGUAUUCUUCUUGUCGGCUCUGAGCUUCGCAUUGCUGAGGGAAACCAGAGUUCACAGGAGAGACUUGACACUUUCUUAAUAGAGGUCUCAUUGGAACCCUGACCUGUUCACCGGACGUGCUACCUGUGCCCGACCUGCUGUUCUCAACUCUCUAGAGACAGCAGGAGCCGUAGAGAUACUCUCAAAGAUCGGCUAUGAAAAAGCCAACUGACACUUACUCUUGAGUUGCUGACUUGUUGCACCCUCGACAACUACUAUGAUUAUUAUUAUUUGACCAUGCUGGUCAUUUAUGAACAUUUUAACAUCUUGACCAUGUUCUGUUAUAAUAUCCACCCGGCACAGCCAGAAGAGGACUGGCCACCCCUCAUAGCCUGGUUCCUCUCUAGGUUUCUUCCUAGGUUUUGGCCUUUCUAGGGAGUUUUUCCUAGCCACCGUGCUUCUUUCACAUGCAUUGCUUGCUGUUUGGGGUUUUAGGCUGGGUUUCUGUACAGCACUUUGAGAUAUCAGCUGAUGUACGAAGGGCUAUAUAAAUAAAUAAAUACAUUUGAUUUGAUUUGAUUCAUUAUAAGAGGAUACUAAAACAAUAUAAGCAGUUCAUAGAUACUUUUGACAAGGCUUAUAAUGCAUUAGGAACACAUCAUAAUGCUUUUUACUGUAACUGUAUCCCUUAAGUCAAGUGUUAUUCAGUAUUUUGUUAACACAAAUAUCUAAAUCAGUACAGCACGUUCACAAGGAAUCACGACCAUCAGCUGCUGAGAGCUAUAAUUUGUUGCUUCAUUCCCAUGGGGUUGAUAAAGGUGGGUAGUAAGCACGAAUCAUGGUAUAGUGCAACCGAGAGAAUUCAAAAACACAUUUAAUAAAAAAUAAUGAUCGUGUCCUAUCUCAUGUAGAAUUACUAGAACAAAUCAUUAGAAGCUAUCAUUUGUCCCCUCAUCAUUCCCUGUGGUGUACUCAAGACCACAAACAAGAUGUCGCCUGAAAGACAUGGUUGCCUUGUUUCUAGCACCUAGCCAACUUGGAUAGAAUGGCACACCCCUUUUUCAAAAAUUCAGUUAAUUGAAAUGGUAUAUUUUUCAAAUAUCACCCUUUCUAAAACAAGCCAUACAAAGCUGGUUGCAAUUCCAGUUUGAUCCUCCAGAAAAGACAGAACAA